This 1348-nucleotide ribosomal RNA is filed under the name metagenome. Its description in RNAcentral is "bacterial LSU rRNA". It matches the Rfam family "Bacterial large subunit ribosomal RNA", at positions 1548 to 2910 of the family's 2925-position model. The record is from RNAcentral.
UUGUCAACAUUGAGGUCAAGGACGAGUCCGCAUGGACGAAGUCACCGAUAUCACGCUUCCAGGAAAAGCCUCUAAGCUUCAGGUCACGAGAGACCGUACCGUAAACCGACACAGGUAGGCAGGAUGAGAAUUCUCAGGCGCUUGAGAGAACUUGUGUGAAGGAACUAGGCAAAAUAGUACCGUAACUUCGGGAGAAGGUACGCCAGCACUUAAUUGUGUUGGCCGCAGUAACCAGGCCGCUGCGACUGUUUAUCAAAAACACAGCACUCUGCAAACACGAAAGUGGACGUAUAGGGUGUGACGCCUGCCCGGUGCCGGAAGGUUAAUUGAUGGGGUGCAAGCUCUUGAUCGAAGCCCCGGUAAACGGCGGCCGUAACGAUAGCGGUCCUAAGGUAGCGAAAUUCCUUGUCGGGUAAGUUCCGACCUGCACGAAUGGCGUAACGACAGCGGCGCUGUCUCCACCCAAGGCUCAGUGAAAUUGAAAUCGCUGUGAAGAUGCAGCGUUCCCGCGGCAAGACGGAAAGACCCCGUGAACCUUUACUAUAGCUUCACACUGAACGUUGAGUUCGUCUGUGUAGGAUAGGUGGGAGCCUACGAAGCGUUGGCGCUAGCUGAUGUGGAGGCAACCUUGAAAUACCACCCUGAUGUGCUUGACGUUCUAACCUGGGUCCGUAAUCCGGAUCGGGGACAGUGUGUGGUGGGUAGUUUGACUGGGGCGGUCUCCUCCCAAAGAGUAACGGAGGAGCACGAAGGUGCGCUCAGCACGGUCGGACAUCGUGCGUAGUGUGUAAAGGCAUAAGCGCGCUUGACUGCGAGAUCGACGGAUCAAGCAGGUACGAAAGUAGGUCUUAGUGAUCCGGUGGUUCUGUAUGGAAGGGCCAUCGCUCAACGGAUAAAAGGUACUCCGGGGAUAACAGGCUGAUACCGCCCAAGAGUUCAUAUCGACGGCGGUGUUUGGCACCUCGAUGUCGGCUCAUCACAUCCUGGGGCUGUAGCCGGUCCCAAGGGUAUGGCUGUUCGCCAUUUAAAGUGGUACGCGAGCUGGGUUCAGAACGUCGUGAGACAGUUCGGUCCCUAUCUGUCGUGGGCGUUAGAGAUUUGAGGGGGGUUGCUCCUAGUACGAGAGGACCGGAGUGAACGAAUCUCUGGUGUUCCGGUUGUCACGCCAGUGGCAUUGCCGGGUAGCUAAAUUCGGAAGCGAUAACCGCUGAAAGCAUCUAAGCGGGAAGCGCGCCCCAAGAUGAUAUCUCUCCCUCCUUGAGAGGAUAAGAGCCCAGGAAGACCACCUGGUUGAUAGGCGCGGUGUGUAAGCGUGGUAACACGUUGAGCUUACGCGUACUAAUUGCCC